GAUCCUGGCUCAGGAUGAACGCUAGCGACAGGCUUAACACAUGCAAGUCGAGGGGCAGCGGGGUAGGAAGCUUGCUUUCUGCCGCCGGCGACCGGCGCACGGGUGAGUAACACGUAUGCAACCUGGCCGUGACAUAUGGAUAACCGGGAGAAAUCCCGCCUAAUACAACAUAAUGCCGGGAGGGGACAUCCCCUGCCGGCCAAAGGGGGCGACCCCGGUCAUGGAUGGGCAUGCGGCGCAUUAGGUAGUUGGUGGGGCAACGGCCCACCAAGCCGACGGUGCGUAGGGGUUCUGAGAGGAAGGUCCCCCACAUUGGAACUGAGACACGGUCCAAACUCCUACGGGAGGCAGCAGUGAGGAAUAUUGGUCAAUGGCCGGAAGGCUGAACCAGCCAAGUCGCGUGAGGGAAUAAGGCCCUACGGGUCGUAAACCUCUUUUGCCAGGGAGCUAUNCCGUUCCACGUGUGGACGGAANGAGAGUACCUGGAGAAAAAGCAUCGGCUAACUCCGUNCCAGCANGCCGCGGUAAUACGGAGGAUGCGAGCGUUAUCCGGAUUUAUUGGGUUUAAAGGGUGCGUAGGCGGCCUGCCAAGUCGGCGGUAAAAUUGCGGGGCUCAACCCCCGUACAGCCGUUGAAACUGCCGGGCUCGAGUGGGCGAGAAGUAUGCGGAAAUGCGUGGUGUAGCGGUGAAAUGCAUAGAUAUCACGCAGAACCCCGAUUGCGAAGGCAGCAUACCGGCGCCCGACUGACGCUGAGGCACGAAAGUGCGGGGAUCAAACAGGAUUAGAUACCCUGGUAGUCCGCACAGUAAACGAUGAAUGCUAGCUGUCCGGGGGGAUUGACCCCUGGGUGGCACAGCGAAAGCGUUNAGCAUUCCACCUGGGGAGUACGCCGGCAACGGUGAAACUCAAAGGAAUUUGACGGGGGCCCNCACAAGCGGAGGAACNUNUGGUUUAAUUCGAUGAUACGCGANGAACCNUUACCCGGGNCUCAAACGCCGAAGGGACAUUCCCCNAAAGGGGAUUGGCCAGCNAUGGUCNUCGGCNAGNUGCUGCAUGGUUGUCGUCAGCUCGUGCCGUGAGGUGUCGGCUUAAGUGCCAUAACGAGCGCAACCCCCACCGACAGUUGCUAACUGGUCAAGCAGAGGACUCUGUCGGGACUGCCGGCGCAAGCUGCGAGGAAGGCGGGGAUGACGUCAAAUCAGCACGGCCCUUACGUCCGGGGCGACACACGUGUUACAAUGGCAGGUACAGCGGGAUGCCAUGGGGCGACCCAGAGCGGAACCCGAAAACCUGUCUCAGUUCGGAUUGGAGUCUGCAACCCGACUCCAUGAAGCUGGGUUCGCUAGUAAUCGCGCAUCAGCCACGGCGCGGUGAAUACGUUCCCGGGCCUUGUACACACCGCCCGUCAAGCCAUGGGAGCCGGGGGUGCCUGAAGGCCGUGACCGCGAGGACNCGAACCUAGGGUAAAANCUGGUGANCUGGGGCUAAGUCGUAACAAGGUAACC
Molecule: ribosomal RNA, 1507 nt
Filed under: uncultured bacterium
Lineage: Bacteria
Description: 16S ribosomal RNA
Rfam family: Bacterial small subunit ribosomal RNA
Source: RNAcentral